GGUUAAUUCGAUGCAACGCGAAGAACCUUACCUGGUCUUGACAUCCCGGAGACCCUUAGGAAACUAGGGGGUGCUUCCAUCUGGAAGAAUCUGGAGACAGGUGCUGUAUGGCCGUCGUCAGCUCGUGUCGUGAGAUGUUGGGUUAAGUCCCGCAACGAGCGCAACCCUUGCCUUUAGUUGCCAGCAGUUCGGCUGGGCACUCUAAAGGGACUGCCGGUGUUAAACCGGAGGAAGGUGGGGAUGACGUCAAGUCCUCAUGGCCUUUAUGACCAGGGCUACACACGUACUACAAUGGCCGAUACAAAGGGCAGCGACACUGCGAGGUGAAGCCAAUCCCGUAAAAUCGGUCUCAGUCCGGAUUGGAGUCUGCAACUCGACUCCAUGAAGUUGGAAUCGCUAGUAAUCGUGGAUCAGCAUGCCACGGUGAAUACGUUCCCGGGCCUU
Molecule: ribosomal RNA, 444 nt
Filed under: uncultured Desulfobulbus sp.
Lineage: Bacteria; Pseudomonadati; Thermodesulfobacteriota; Desulfobulbia; Desulfobulbales; Desulfobulbaceae
Description: bacterial SSU rRNA
Rfam family: Bacterial small subunit ribosomal RNA
Source: RNAcentral